AAGUUUGAAGCGAACCGCAAUUAGUUUCGACCUAAUCAUUGGUAAUAAAUAUUACCCAAACUUA
Molecule: transfer RNA, 64 nt
Filed under: Ascaloptynx appendiculata
Lineage: Eukaryota; Metazoa; Arthropoda; Insecta; Neuroptera; Myrmeleontidae
Description: tRNA-Arg
Source: RNAcentral